GCAGGGGCUAGAACCCAGAUGGCCUGAGUCCCAGUCCCAUGCUCUUAACCACUACACCACCCUGGCUCUCAAGCUUCAUAGGGAGAUGUAGAAUAGACUUACGAAAUACUGACAAAAUAUGUCUCUCAACUCCAAAACUCUUGUUCUUGCUUUGAAUAAUCAUACAGUUAAAGCUUAUCUUGAUAAUCUUGAGUUUAUUGCAGGAAUUGUAAGUUUUCCAGUGCACAUAUCACAGAGGUUAACUCUGUCUUUUUUAACUUGGUCAAUUUUGUCAGCUACGGCUCAAUGGUUAACUAGAUAAAGGAGCUAAAUGGCAUCCUGUGUAACUUGUUUAAUUAGGGAGAUUUAACAGGUAAAAUAAAUUAAACAUAAUUUCAGUCUGCCUUUUCACUUCUCUGUAGAAAAAGCUUCCGUGAGACUUUUUCAUAUUUGGCUUUCUCAAGUAGGCACAGAGCACAAUUCUGGGCAUAAAAGGGCCCGACUGUUCCCUGCAUUCCCCAGCUAACAUGGCCAGCUAGAAAUGCUGACAGUUUCCAGACGUUAUUCUACAUACAUUGGAGUCUCUACUGGCACCAAGUGAGCAUCACCUGUAACAUGCUGCUCCGUCUAGCACUAGCUUUGGCAAAGGUCCAGCCCUAAAUAUGGGUUCCUCUUGAAGAAGCAUUGUUCAAAUGAAUUUUUCUUUCCAACUUCACUUCUACUUAUUUCACCUUUCAUAAAACUGUAUUCUGGGGCAGGUCAUCAGGAGUUUAGCCAGCUUUUAAAAAGACUUAAGAUGUAUGAGGGAGGGAUAUGGAAUGUUGGCAGGGGUCUGGGUAGGAAGGAAGGGUGGGGUUAGGUUUGGAUAAGAGGAGUAGAAUAGCCUUGCAAAAGUCACAGCUGUCCAGAAACAUAACUGCACAGUGGCUGGAUUUAAACAUCAUACUAACACAUGGCUUACUAUGACAAAAAUUAAAUAAACAUAGCCUCCUCCUUUCCCACUCCAGUACAGUUACAAGAGGAGUUCUGCAGGUGGUGGUUUGCUUUAAAACAAGCUAACUUCAAACCAUGAGCUAUAAGAUUGACUUGUUUCCACAAACCAUAGUUACGUUUAAUCACAGUUUAGUAUGUGGGAGCAGAUGUUUCCAGUUUCCUUAUGGCCAUGACAGAAGUGUGGGGAGCACAAGACCAGAUUUUGGGGGGGGGGGGAGCUAGCCUCAUUCCCAUCGGUUGGUGUCCUUUUUAUGACAUGCUAAUCCCCCCUGCAUACAGGCUAUGUAGUGUGGGUUGUUCAUGGAUCAGCACACAGUGCUCCCUACAGACCAUCCGUGUCACCAUGGCUUUGCACCAUCCAGUUUGGUAUCCUAGUGUCCUUCAUGGUGGAACCCAUCUGCUGCUUCUCACUGCAGUUGCUGCCGUUCUUCAUUUGAUGCUUCUCUUUCUUCAUUUUCAGAGUCUCAAAACUUUGUAGUGGAGGUUAUUACUUCCCCACUUCAUGGCCCCAGAAAACGUCUGAUUUAUUUACUUGUCUUUUGAAACUGUGUUCUUAACAGCUGUCUGAUAUGUAUAUUUUUGCUGAUCACUUUUCUUAAAUGUGUCAACUGUCAAAGGAAGCCAGCAAAGUGGAGUAGAUAACAUUCAUGGAAACUGACCCAGUGAGGCUGCACAUAGACUAAAUUGUACACAGUUGCUGGAGACCAAUUGCUGAGUUUUCAGAAAAUCACUGAAAGGGGGGAAAACAGGUGUAUCGAAAGGAUAUCUUGCUUUGGGAUUGUAAUCAUGCCCCUUUUAUUUGUUGCACUUGGUGCCCUCUGCCUUUGCAACAUUUCCUGAGUCUACAGUUAUUCCAGAAAGGUGAGAUAAAGGUUCCCCUCCUUUUUUGUGGGUCCUUUUUGGAUCACUCACCUCUCUUUUGGGGGUUUUUCAAUUAACUCAGCAAUCCGUCCCUGGCAACUGGGCAGAAAUUAGCCUAUAUGCAGGCUUGCCUUGUCAGUUGCCACCCAUAUUUGCUACUUCCUUCCCUUUGAAAGCUGAAACGAAGGAGAUGUGCAGCUGCUUCACAUGGUCUUGCUGAGUCCAAGUGCACUUGUGAAAGACUGAUCCCUCCACCCAAUUCCGAACACGUGAAAUUUUGGGGGGCCAAAAUGAAACUUCAAAGAGGGUGGUGAAGCAGUGCUGAUCAUGCCAAAGUGCUGCUUGAGCACUGAGAGCAGGUUCUCCCUGGCAAAGACAAAAGUGAAAUGUAAAGGUUUUGCUGCUCUUGCCAAGUAGCAUGCCAGCAGAUCACUGCAAUUCCUGAUGAAAUUGUACUCCUGGGUUUUGAUAAUAUGGUAGCAUCAUGGGUCAAUGACUCCCGAGAAUAUCUUGGGUUGUCAGUUGCUGGAAUAUAUGUCAUUGUCAGGAAAGCGGUCUGCUUCAGACAGCAAGACAUCCUCCUGUGGCUACUUAAUUAUAAUGAGUUGUAUAAUCAUGCAAAGCAGGUUUUUGGCAGAAUUAUGUCAGUUGAUCUUCUGGACAAGUGUUGCCCAUUUUACAGCUUAUGUUUCUUUGAAACAUUACUUAAAUUUUCUAGUAUCUCAUAAAAAGACCUAUCUUUUUCAUUCUUGCCCCUGAGCAUCUGUGUAUUUGAUCCAUCUUGGCCAGCAAUGUUGAAUUUUGGUGGUAUAAAAUGUACAUCCAGCUCCUGUUUUCUUUGUUUGUAAGAACACUUUCUAGUAAUGAUUAGCUUUGUCAAUUGAGAUGUGUUUAUACAGUCAGUUUCAACUGUGGAAGAAUUUGCAGAAAACACCAUAGUACGUGGUGUCCAGCUGGUUAAAAGAACUGAUCCUUUGGCGAGGAAGAGAUCAGCAACUCAAAGGAAUCCACUGGAAUUUAAAGGUACGUUUCCCCAAAUAUGCACCAUCUGGAAGGACUACAUUUACAACAGGAUUGGUUUGUGCUGGUUGCACUAAAACUGGCUGCAGUCCAAAGAAUUGCUUACGCUCUUGUAAGGGCUUUGCAAUGUUCCAAUGGAAUACUUGACUCUUUUAUUUGAGUAUCUGACCUCCCAUUCCAUAUUACUAGCUGCUUCGGAAAAUACCUGCAGCAAAUUUGAAAAGCAGUCUGCCAUGAAGCAUAAUUUAUUUGAGGAAAAUAAAAUUAGUAGCCUUUUCAGGCAACUAAUAAAAUACUAUUCAUGGAUUGGCUCUUGGUCAAAGUCUUAUACUAUUUUCCUUUAAUAGUAGUUAUGAAAAACAGUUACAGAACCAUUAAAAUAUGUACAGAGCCGCAGUACGUUACAUGUAAAAUGGCUUGUGUUCAGCACUUGGUUACAUAAAGUAUCAAAAAGGAGAAGAUAAAUAUAUUAUGAACUAAAAUAAGAGGACCCCCUCCACUUACUAGGAAUAGUGGUGUAGCCAUACUUACUUCUCGUUGAUUUGUGUUUGCACCGCUGAUAUUCUUCAUGUGAAAGAAUCCUCUCAGGUUUUCCCACUGCCUAAUCUAGACCAACUUUCUAGAAUGUCAAUCAUUCUGGAAAUAGUCCCUCUGCUCUGCUAAUGGAAGAGACAUGUCCUUUAACACUGGUAUACAUAUUCUGCCUCUAAGCAUUCCUUAGGAAUAGACUGUUAUUCAUAGAAGGGCAUGUGAAUAGAAAAAAUAUUUUUUCCAUUUUAUUUCAGGGUUUUGUGCCAUACAGUCUUGCCUCUCCUCUCAUUUUAAGGGGAAAAUGGAGUGAGCAUUUGAGGAAAGGAAUUACAUGCAGGCAAGAAAUGAACAAACAUAGCACUAGGGCUAGAAGGAAGAAAGUAAACAAAGGUAUCCAGGUGUACAUCUUUAGAAGCAAACUUUUAAUUAAUAUAAGCAAUUUAAAUGAAGAGGUUUGUGCAUUUCUCUGUGGAAGUAUUCUAUGUUAAACAGGUUGCAAAGAAUUGCAAAGGUGUGUCUCUCUUUCUCUUCCCCAACAAAAUUGGUGUAUGCACUAUAAGCCUCACUUUGCAGUAGUGUAUAUUUCAGUUAUUCUUCUUUAAAAAAGUAUAUCAUAGAAUUAAGAACUACAUUUAGCAGUACAAUUUUACAUAUAUCAACUCAGAAAUAAGUCCCUUUGAAAUCAGUGGGACUUACUUCCUAUUUAGUGGGUAUGGAAUUACAGCCUAAUACAAUAUAAGGAAAGGCUAAAUAGUUUUCUAGAAAAAAGAUGACUUAGGAAAGACCCAGUAAAAUUUUAAUUUUCUACAAGUUCUGUCCAUUUACGAAUGAUAUUAAAGAGAAGCUUUCAUCACUAGAACUCAUUCCAGAAUUCAUUACUAGAAUUUUAAUGGCCUCAUUUGCCACAGUAUGCAAAUCCUGGCCUACUGUCAGCUAGAGCCUAUUUGCUCCUUUCUGGCCUCUCCCAGAAAUACAAAAUUGCGACAUUUAAACCUGGAAUUGGGGUUUAUUACCCUCUUCAUGAGCCAGGAUUUGGAAGGCAAGAAUGCACUUUGAUUUAACAUUUUGACUUGUAAAGGGUACAGCAAGCCAGGAUCAAAGUUUUGAAUGUAAACUUAGGAGUUCAGAUUGGUUUUGCUGCUUGUGCUCACCAGAGGAGCAGAGCAGGUGCAAACUGUUUGAAUUGCAUGCACUGUAUUCUCAAGUACGCCAGAAUCUGCUAACCUUUAGCAGUCUUUGCACUUUGCAGGCAUUAAAAUUGACUAGCAGUAGAAUUAGACUGGGACGAGCCUGAAUUACAGGGUAUAUUACCACAGGCUUUAAAAUGGGCUAAACACGUUCCUGUAGGAUCAGUGGCUCUUCAACUAACGUAAGUGUACAGAGGUGUGUGCCUGUAAGUUCCUCAUGUUUGAUACUGGAACAUAAGACAUUAUUUUAUAGGAUGUGAGAAGAGGAAUUUUGUGGGUCCCUAGACCUUUUUAAACUUCUUUUUCUUUGUAGCACUUAUAAUACUGAUGUGUACAGUGUCUGUUUUUUUUUUUAAAUCACUCUUGCCUGUGGCCUGGUGAAACAACCAUGAGCAACCUACAGUUCUUGGUUCACAUGUACCAACCAUUCAUGGCUUAAAUGAUCCAGAAUUUACAAACUAACAAUAAACCAUAAGUUCUGUUCAAAGAUUGUUCAUGGUUAACAAUUCAUAAUUUACAGGUCUCCCAACCUACAUAUGAACCAGUUCAUUGGCACCCUGUAAAGGUAGGCAGAAUGAAAAAAAAAAAGCAAGCACAAUUAUGUUUAUUCAUAGGAAAUGCAUGGGCAUGUUACAUGUUUGUGAAAUUGGGCAUGUUACAUGUUUGAUUCCUCUUCACCCAAAUAAUAUUAGAACAAGGACAUGUCCAAUGAAACUGACACAAUAUUCAGGGCAGAUAAAAUAAAUUACAUCUUCACAAAGGGCCUAAAUGGGACUUCCAUAUUCAAAGGUAACAUGCUAUGGAAUACCAGUUGUAGAAAGAGCAAGAACUGCAGAAAAACAUUUCCACCAUUAUCCUACCUGUGGACCUAUUCAAGAAGCAUUUGGUUGUCUACACUGAGAAAACAGGAUGCUGGAAUAAAUGGACUUCUGGUCUGUUCCAGCAGUGCUCUUGGUACGUUAUUACUAUUCCUAGCCGUCAUAGAUCCCUUCUCUCCACUGAUUAUUUCAAAACUAGGUUUGUGAUAGCAUUUGAACCAGAACUUUGCACUGAAUGGCAAGCUUAAUGAUAAUGGGAAAUCAGUGGUCCCAUGCAACAGUCCUCGUUAUUGUCCAGCUAAGAACUUGAUUGGAAACUAACCAUGAGCCCCAUAGUCACAAACUUCAAAGUAUUGUUUAAAAAUAAAUUUAGGAACAUUCAUGUUGUGGUAAUGGUUAGGACAAUGUACAGUUUUUUUAGAAGUGGGCUUUAAAGCCACAUUCACUGACUGCUAUAGCAUCCAUGCAGGACAAUCUCAACUCUUGGGGGCAAAACCUAAAUUAUGAAGGGUUCACCCUUUCUUCAUUUGCUGUGAUAAUGAUGAGUCUACUAGUCACAUGUUGAAAAACUGGGCACAACCUGGAACAUUCUUAAAUUUUUUUAAACAAAAGCUGCAUUAGAGCAAUACUUCUAACAAUGCUGGGAAAUCUUACAGAGAGAAAUUAACAAUCCCGCCUCCGCCCCGACAGCUGCCCUGCGGGGCUUCUGUGUUUCCAGAAAUUUUGCAUCUUUAGUUCUCUUCCUGUUAGAAAUCAUCUUAGUGCAGUAAAGGCCAGGUAGCAAUACAUGAAUAUCCUGUCUUAAACAUGCUGCUCAUCAUUUUCCAGAAUUGGUCAUUUUUUUCAGUAAGACCCCCUCCCCCCCCAAAAAAAGAAAGGCCAUGACAAGGGUAGGGAUGGAGGAAAAACUUUUCCCUUUUUUUCCUGAUCCUUCACGUGAGUGGGAAAUUCAGAAAAAACUCUCAGUUUGUUUUUUUCCAGUCCCUCAUGCUAAAAGCAGAAGUUUACACUGACAUAGCUGAAUGGUGGCUGAUGCGGCUCCCCCCUCUUCGGCAUUGGUCAGCACUUGGGGAUAUGAGAGUACAUUGCAAAGCUAUGCUGGUGGGAAGGAAUUUUCAAAUAAAGGUAAAAGGUUCUGACUUUACACAUGUACCAAAAAUUAAAAAUUCUUCUCACUUGAACAAUAAUAGAAAUGUUUUAAAAAUCAGAAAACAAAUUCCAACUUUUGUCAGCAGUUAACAUGCAAUGAAAGAGAGGCCCACAAGGUGCUACUCAUGUAAAUGUCUUGCAGAUAUGGACAAGUCCCAGACCAACAUUUGCAGGUAAGGAAAAUGUGUACGCUUUUUCAGCACUUUCAUGAAUUUGUCUUACAUCUUGCUUUGGUGUGGAUUUGUAUGGUAUACAGAUGUUCAGCAUUAUAUUUGCAUUUAAGUGGGAUGAAAGUAUUAGAGUGGAAUAGGCAGGAAUCCAGUGACAGCCAGUGUGUUCCAGGAUUGCCACUUCUCUUUUGUACUAGGUAAAAACCUGGCCUCUGUAUAAAAUGAUGAUAGUUCUGCCUUAUGCUGUCUGAUCAUUUAUGCCAGAGCAAUAUAUUAAGAGGCGUUUCAAGGGAGAACGACUCUUUUGUAAUCUGUUAUUAGGGCUGUGUGCAUAUUGGGAAUGCUAUCCAUAAUACUGAAAAGUGUAUAAUCGUGGGUGUGUAAUUCAAUUAUCUGAAUUCAAUUACCUGAAAAGCUCUUGAGUGUUAAAAAAGAAAGUUUCCAGCCCUUAUGACAGUUUCUUCAAAUUGUUGCUGUUCCUAUGACUUGGACUACCACUUCCAUGCUCCCCAGCUAGCAUGCUGUAGUUCAACAGGACUAGAAGUUACCUAGGGAGGGCUGCCUUGUGACAGCAAAGAGAUACUUAAGAGUGCACAAGCAAUACCAGGUAAAAUUUCAAAAGAGUUUGCUGGAUGAAAGUUCUAAUGCCCAAGGUGUGAGAUUUUGUGCCCUCUCUAGCUUUUCGCCUUGUAGUUAGAAAAAUAAACUAUUCUUGUUUGCCUAACAUAUGGCCUAGAAUUUAGGUUAAGGUGCAAUUUUAAUUUUUAAAGAAAGAGAAUAUGUGUAAGUCUUUUUACUAUACUUGAUGCUUUUUGGGAGAUGCUUGAUCAUUAGUGCAAAGUGCUCCAUUUUUGUAAAAAAAAAAUUAACAUCUGGGCCUUGUUCAAGGUGUUGCUUACAUAAUUGCUUUGGCAGAGGGGUUUAAGUGCAUGCUUAAUGUUUAGUGGAUAAUACAGCCUCACAAUCCACAGUGCUGUCUAGCUUGUUUUAAAGGGGUCAAUCAUGCUUUAUUUCAUUUGUCUGGUGCUAUGUAUUGAUGGAGAAUGGAACAAUCAAUGAAGUGAUCCACAGCUUGCUGUUGAAACAAAUCUAGUAUAAAUUUUGUCUAGUAAUUGAAGGUAAUUAUCUUCCUUCCUUCCUUCAGUUGUUCUUUGACUGUGCCCACCUAUCUCUUCCAAAAAAAUGUUUUAAAACGUGUCAGUGCUCAGGCUUGCUUGUUUGAAAUCUGUACCACCUAAGCUCUUGUUAGCUUUGAUACCUGUACAGAACAAAGUAGGACUUACAAACUCUUUUGCAAAGUGGAAGGACACAAUAGAAAAUUCCAGGGUUUCUUAAUAGCUAUAUAUGUAAUCUGUAUAGAGAAAAUGGGUAGUUUAUAUUAGCUUUCCCUAAGCUUGUGCUUUCCAGACACGUUUUGAUGGCAACAUCCAGAAUUCCCAAUCAGUGACCCUACUGGAUGGGAAUUCUGGGAGUUGUGAUCUAAAUAUCUCUGAAGGCACCAGGUUGAGGAAGGCUGGUUUAUAUGACGUGGAAAAAGACAGAGUGCCCCAUCCCCACCUAUGGUAGCUCAAACAGCAUCUAGGAUUGUGGAAAGCUUCCUUAGCCUGAGGCAGGUCCUUCUUCCACCUGGCCCAGUAGUGUCAUCAUGGUCUCAGGAAGGAGUUCUUCUGGCCCUGCAUGAAGAUUCCAGGAACUCAGCCCAACCUCUUCUGCCUUCAAAGCAGAUGCUCUACCCCUGAGCCGUGGGUCAUCCCUUAAGUGUGUUAGGUAGCAUUUUGUUCGCUAUACACAGUGGAUCUACCUGGAAAGUGAGCCUAGCCAGUAUGGUAAAGCUUUCCUAAGCACCUGAAGGUGCUUAUACGGAGCAAAGACAAUUUCACUUAGGCUUAGAGUAACAUGGUGCCAAUCUUGCUUUCUACCUGUGAUGUGUCUGUUUUUCCUCCUCUCAAAUGAACACACCAAAUUUUCAGAAAAUGAAAGAUCUCAUUGCAGAGUGUUAUUUAAUGGUAUUGAACCUGACCUUUCCCCACAAAAGCUAAUUUUGCUACACUGCUUUAUAUCCACUGCAUUUAGAAGGUUGCACUGCUAAUUUUGGGAAAUAGUAUUUAUACUUGAAGUUCACCCAUUCUGGGCCUGGGUUAAAGAUAACUUAUGUUUUGGGAUUUCCCUUUGUUAUCUGUCAAGUCAGAAUCAGUGUACUUUAUUUAGCCUUCCUAACCUGUAUGGAAAAUAAUUAAAUUGAUGGUUGAAGAGUAAAAAGCAAAAGGUAUGAUGUCUUUGUGUGCUUUAAGCUUUAUAAAAGAUAAGUGGCAUUGAAAUUCUUAUCUUUGUAUUGUUGAUGAAGAUCAGGUUUGUUUCUGUAAUGCCAAUGUCUUGCUUAUGCUGUGAAACCCUGACAUUUCAGAAGUGUCAUGUGAGGAAACCAGAAAGGCCCCUCUGGGGAUACUGUGUGGCACACUCCUUCUGGUGGCUCUGUGAUCAUGGCAAGACCAGCUUGAUGACAUCACCUAGACCUGGAAAGACAAACGGGGGUAAGUUAGCCUGCUUGGUUGAGUACUUGAAGGGUGUCCUCUUCCAUCCCACCGUAGCACCAUAAGGGUUGACACGACCCAGGGCCAAGGAAAAGUCCAUACACAAUCCAGAUUCCUGGCUAUAAGGAGGAAAGGAGUGUCAGGGGAGGCAUCACAGAGCAUGUGCUGAGGCUCCCGCAGUGGAUCCACUACCAGCUUUCAGUGCUUCCUGACCAUGUUGAGACAUCCUGCUAUUGCAGCAGCUACCUGCCUUCUUCAAGUAGGCAGGUGGGUAAUGGCAGGAAAAGCCUUUGCUCCCCUUGUCCUCCUUAAGUGCUGAGGUUGACUGGGCCCAGAUGGACAGUAGCAAUCUGAGAAGCGGGGCUCCUUGGAGAGUGGGAGCUGGCACAUUUUGUCCAAGUGUCCCCCAGAACCUGGCGUUGACAGUGUCUAAGGACUAGCGUUAACCGUUCCUGCACUGGGCAAUGUCUAGCCAAGCGUGACAUGGGGUAUUUGCUUCUUGCCUGUCUCCACGUGUACGUGUACACAUUGCACAGCUGCAGUUGUGUGCACCGUAUCAUUCAGUCAUAGCCAAGUAUGGCUAGAGUGAUGAAUGGAACCCUAGGGAUUCAGUUGAAUCCCACCUAGACAAGGUGCCCCUGGUGGCCUUAGGCCACUCCAACCUCUCAGUCUGUUUCUUAUGAGAAUAAUAGUAGCUACGAGAUAAUGGUGGAGGCAAUUAAAUCUGCAGGGCAUCUUGUAUAUGUUUGAAUUUCCAUUGAAAAUACAAACAAAACAUUUGACCCUUUCCCCAUAUGUAGAAAGGUAAUGCAGGUAAGAAGGAUUCUUCUGACUCCCCAGGCAAGUAGUUUUUGGAUGUGGGCAGCACUGAAAGCUGUUCUAUCCAUCCAUAUGCUUAAGUGGCAUGUUUCUCACUGUUCUUCUUCUAAAUGUGCAGAUCACCCCUAGAAAAAGUGAGGUACGUGCCUUACAGUAGUUAAAGGUGAAAGCUUUGAAUCCCCAGCCUCUUAGGUGUAUGUGCACUUCUGAUGUUACCAUCAGGUGGAAGGACAGAAUGUGUCUACAUUCAGUGGCCCUAGCAUCACAUGAACUGGAGAAAAGGUCUAAAAUGAGGGUGGGGCUGCUUUAUACACACACAAAUCUGGAACCUCAAUUGUGCAGAGUUGUGAAUUAUGCAAGAGCAUCCAUGCCUAUGGAGUUCGGCUUUUCUUUCUGGGUCUUCCUUCAGAACAAGGGUAGGAAUGAGCACUCCCGCAGCAAUGGGCACUGUCAGGCAUAGACUGAAGAGAAACCAGAAUAUAGCGUUAACUGCCUUUGGGUCUCAACUUUUUUGUGUGCUGUUUUUGUUUCAUUUUGGGCAUCUGUGAGGUGUCUAUGUACAAGAAUUGGUGAUGCAAAAAGGAUCUAGAUUGUGACUGUUCAUCUUGAAAGACAGAACGUGUUCCAGUGGAAUUGUUGUUAAUUCAUUCCACACUGUAUGUUUACCAAAUUACCAGGUGGGUAUAGUAAAUACAGCAAAGACAUAAGAAUUCAUUGGAAAAUCUAAAUGCCCUUGAUUUUGUUCGCUUGCUCUGCCUUGUAAAUGGUUGAUUUCCCUUUUAAUAAACACUUGUGCAAAGUGA
Varanus komodoensis (Komodo dragon) is the source of this 10861-nucleotide long non-coding RNA. RefSeq lists it as uncharacterized. NCBI's taxonomy places the organism in Eukaryota, Metazoa, Chordata, Lepidosauria, Squamata, Varanidae. The transcript has 2 exons. The record is from RefSeq and is a predicted model, not a curated record.